CACUCCACUUUCUCAGACUCCAUGUUAAACUGUCUACACAGAGUGAGAGCAACAUCUUUAGACAGGGGAUGAAAUUGCACAUUUUUACAUGCUACAUCCCCAACAAACACAAUAUCCAAAUUCACAGUGACAUCAUCACUUUGUUUCUCCUUCUUAGAUGUGCAUUUUCGAGAUGGGAGCUUUAGUUUUUCUCCUCUCCGAGUAGAUGCACAGACUACUGGUGUGACAGGACUCUCCUCAGUAGGAGCAGUAACCUGUCCUCUACAUUCAUCAACUGCACCUGGGCACUUCACACAAACAACACUGAUCUCAAAGAGCUUGGGUGUUUGUUUCACAGAUCCUGCAAACUUAGAAAAGUGCUCCAGCAGAUGCUGGAGCGAACUGAAAUAGAGCACGGCGUUCUGCCCUGCACCAUCAACCAUCCCAUCCGCACUGCAAGCAUGUGAGUCCACUACUGCAUACUGACCUCUUUCACCAAUGAUGGCACAAGUAUGGCCAGCAAGUGUAAAGAAGCAGAUCUUGUAUUUUGUGCACAUCUUACUCAAUCCAUCAGAGAGAAGUAAUGAAUUCUGACUAAAUCAUCUC
Molecule: long non-coding RNA, 585 nt
Organism: Thalassophryne amazonica
Lineage: Eukaryota; Metazoa; Chordata; Actinopteri; Batrachoidiformes; Batrachoididae
Exons: 3
Source: RefSeq, a predicted model, not a curated record